This 253-nucleotide ribosomal RNA is filed under the name uncultured bacterium. RNAcentral describes it as "partial 16S ribosomal RNA". It matches the Rfam family "Bacterial small subunit ribosomal RNA", at positions 524 to 776 of the family's 1533-position model. The record is from RNAcentral.
UACGUAGAUGGCAAGCGUUGUCCGGAAUUAUUGGGCGUAAAGCGCGCGCAGGUGGUUUCUUAAGUCUGAUGUGAAAGCCCACGGCUCAACCGUGGAGGGUCAUUGGAAACUGGGGAACUUGAGUGCAGGAGAGAAGAGUGGAAUUCCACGUGUAGCGGUGAAAUGCGUAGAGAUGUGGAGGAACACCAGUGGCGAAGGCGACUCUUUGGCCUGUAACUGACACUGAGGCGCGAAAGCGUGGGGAGCAAACAGG